AGCCUUUUGUAUCCGUGCUGAGAUUUCGUCACAUAACAGACCACAAGGGCUGAUGAGACUUCCAAGAUAAGUGAAGCG
This 78-nucleotide microRNA precursor is filed under the name Schistosoma margrebowiei. Its description in RNAcentral is "mir-3492 microRNA precursor family". It matches the Rfam family "mir-3492 microRNA precursor family". Lineage: Eukaryota; Metazoa; Platyhelminthes; Trematoda; Strigeidida; Schistosomatidae. The record is from Rfam by way of RNAcentral.